GAUGAACGCUAGCGACAGGCUUAACACAUGCAAGUCGAGGGGCAGCGGGGGUAGCAAUACCCGCCGGCGACCGGCGCACGGGUGAGUAACGCGUAUGCAACUUACCUAUCAGAGGGGGAUAACCCGGCGAAAGUCGGACUAAUACCGCAUGAAGCAGGGGCCCCGCAUGGGGAUAUUUGCUAAAGAUUCAUCGCUGAUAGAUAGGCAUGCGUUCCAUUAGGCAGUUGGCGGGGUAACGGCCCACCAAACCGACGAUGGAUAGGGGUUCUGAGAGGAAGGUCCCCCACAUUGGUACUGAGACACGGACCAAACUCCGACGGGAGGCAGCAGUGAGGAAUAUUGGUCAAUGGGCGCGAGCCUGAACCAGCCAAGUCGCGUGAGGGAUGAAGGUUCUAUGGAUCGUAAACCUCUUUUAUAAGGGAAUAAAGUGCGGGACGUGUCCUGUUUUGUACGUACCUUAUGAAUAAGGAUCGGCUAACUCCGUGCCAGCCGCCGCGGUAA
RNAcentral lists this ribosomal RNA (501 nucleotides) under uncultured bacterium. RNAcentral's name for it is "partial 16S ribosomal RNA". It matches the Rfam family "Bacterial small subunit ribosomal RNA", at positions 28 to 523 of the family's 1533-position model. The record is from RNAcentral.